This 353-nucleotide transfer-messenger RNA is filed under the name Acidobacteriota bacterium. RNAcentral describes it as "Acidobacteria bacterium (soil metagenome) transfer-messenger RNA". It matches the Rfam family "transfer-messenger RNA". Rfam says of the family: Bacterial tmRNA, also known as 10Sa RNA or SsrA, is named for its dual tRNA and mRNA-like properties. RNAcentral also lists the same sequence under 1 other name. The record is from RNAcentral. Lineage: Bacteria; Pseudomonadati; Acidobacteriota.
GGGGGCGACCUAGAUUCGACGGAGGUACGGUUUCGCAGGAUGCGUGCCGAGGACCAUUAACCUCGACAAAAAAUGGAAACAACGUUAACUGCCAACACGCAGUACGCACUCGCAGCUUAAACACCUGUGAGCGUCCACCCCGGCAAGCCUGCGGGCCGGGGACCGGAUGUCAUUUAAGCAGGCUGGCUACUGACGGCUACCUCGGACGUCAAUAGCGAGAUUUUCCGGGGCUGGUGCUCGGCGGUUUUGCCGUUUCUUCACGCCAGGCACGAGACAACAGAGGCGGAUACGCAUCGUAGAUUCCUGCGGAGAUGUAUUUUCGGACGGGGGUGCGAAUCCCCCCGCCUCCAUCU